GUGGGGAAUCUUGCACAAUGGGCGAAAGCCUGAUGCAGCGACGCCGCGUGAGGGAAGAAGGCUUUCGGGUUGUAAACCUCUUUCAGAAGGGACGAAGCCACUCAGGUUAAUAGCCGAGAGGGUGACGGUACCUUCAGAAGAAGCCCCGGCUAACUACGUGCCAGCAGCCGCGGUAAUACGUAGGGGGCAAGCGUUGUCCGGAUUUAUUGGGCGUAAAGAGCGUGUAGGCGGCCAUGCAGGUCCGUUGUGAAAACUCGAGGCUCAACCUCGAGACGCCGAUGGAAACCGUGUGGCUAGAGUCCGGAAGAGGAGAGUGGAAUUCCUGGUGUAGCGGUGAAAUGCGCAGAUAUCAGGAAGAACACCCGUGGCUAAGGCGGCUCUCUAGUACGGUACUGACGCUGAGACGCGAAAGCGUGGGGAGCGAACAGGAUUAGAAACCCCGGUAGUCC
RNAcentral lists this ribosomal RNA (449 nucleotides) under uncultured bacterium. RNAcentral's name for it is "bacterial SSU rRNA". It matches the Rfam family "Bacterial small subunit ribosomal RNA", at positions 354 to 796 of the family's 1533-position model. The record is from RNAcentral.